GCAGGUGUAGUUCAAUGGUAGAACAUCAGCCUUCCAAGCUGAAUACGCGGGUUCGAUUCCCGUCACCUGCUCCA
RNAcentral lists this transfer RNA (74 nucleotides) under Clostridium sp. RNAcentral describes it as "tRNA-Gly". It matches the Rfam family "tRNA". From Rfam's summary of the family: Transfer RNA (tRNA) molecules are approximately 80 nucleotides in length. Their secondary structure includes four short double-helical elements and three loops (D, anti-codon, and T loops). Further hydrogen bonds mediate the characteristic L-shaped molecular structure. tRNAs have two regions of fundamental functional importance: the anti-codon, which is responsible for specific mRNA codon recognition, and the 3' end, to which the tRNAs corresponding amino acid is attached (by aminoacyl-tRNA synthetases). tRNAs cope with the degeneracy of the genetic code in two manners: having more than one tRNA (with a specific anti-codon) for a particular amino acid; and 'wobble' base-pairing, i.e. permitting non-standard base-pairing at the 3rd anti-codon position. The record is from RNAcentral. RNAcentral also lists the same sequence under 3 other names. Lineage: Bacteria; Bacillati; Bacillota; Clostridia; Eubacteriales; Clostridiaceae.